AAAAAAAAAAAAAAAGAAUGCAAGCUCCAGGGAGCAGGACCAUCAUGUUUCUUCACCACUUGAUCUUCAUUUUCCAGGACAAUGAUUAGAACAGAGCAGGUUACAAGGAUUUGCUUUUGUGCCUCCUGGGAUGUAACCUGGAAGAAAGGCCUAUGAGAUCUGUCAUACAAGAAAGAAUUCCUGAUUAUAUGCCUUCUGGCCUGACAUCCUAGAAUUCUUGCUUUGGCUAUGAAUAUGGAAAAUACCACUUAACUCCCUCUUCUAUCUUCUCUCUCUCUCUCUCUCUCUCUCUCCCCCCUUCCUCAUA
This is a long non-coding RNA of Hyaena hyaena (striped hyena), 307 nucleotides long. RefSeq lists it as uncharacterized. NCBI's taxonomy places the organism in Eukaryota, Metazoa, Chordata, Mammalia, Carnivora, Hyaenidae. The record is from RefSeq and is a predicted model, not a curated record. The transcript has 3 exons.